CCUACGGGUGGGCAGCAGUGGGGCACAUUGGGCAAUGGGCGCAAGCCUGACCCAGCAACGCCGCGUGAAGGAAGAAGGCUUUCGGGUUGUAAACUUCUUUUGUCAGGGAAGAGUAGAAGACGGUACCUGUCGAAUAAGCCUCGGCUAACUACGUGCCAGCAGCCGCGGUAAUACGUAGGUGGCAAGCGUUGUCCGGAUUUACUGGGUGUAAAGGGCGUGUAGCCGGGUUGACAAGUCAGAUGUGAAAUCCUGCGGCUUAACCGCAGAACUGCAUUUGAAACUGUUGAUCUUGAGUACUGGAGAGGCAGACGGAAUUCCUAGUGUAGCGGUGAAAUGCGUAGAUAUUAGGAGGAACACCAGUGGCGAAGGCGGUCUGCUGGACAGCCACUGACAUUGAUGCUCGAAAGUGUGGGUAUCAAACAGGAUUAGAUACCCGGGUAGUC
RNAcentral lists this ribosomal RNA (443 nucleotides) under uncultured bacterium. RNAcentral describes it as "partial 16S ribosomal RNA". It matches the Rfam family "Bacterial small subunit ribosomal RNA", at positions 338 to 795 of the family's 1533-position model. The record is from RNAcentral.